Molecule: long non-coding RNA, 42761 nt
Filed under: Nicotiana tabacum (common tobacco)
Lineage: Eukaryota; Viridiplantae; Streptophyta; Magnoliopsida; Solanales; Solanaceae
Description: long non-coding RNA (NTAB_LNC013328)
Source: RNAcentral
UUUUUUUUUUGAGGUUAUAAGUAUUUAUGCUAUUUCAAACAAGUGAUAAGUAAGUGUUAUGAAGGGCAGAGUGUAAACAAAUCAAAGAAAUUGAGUUUUGUCGAAGUUUAAAAUUUUGGAAUGUAAUACGAUCCAAGCUAUAAUACCUCAUAUUUAUGGACUAGUACUAUACCACAUGAUCAUGAUAGGAUAUUAUAUGAAGUAUGUUAAAGGUGAUUAAUACUUUAGUGAAACCUGAUCUAGAAAGGAAUUAUGUGUGUAACUAAUUAAAUUGGAAAUUAUAGUAGGAAGAGGAGAAAUAAGUCAAAGAAUAUUGAAUAACUAUUAUGUGGUUAUGAUUCACAUGGGUUAGGAAUAGGUGGCAGCCAAGGGAUGGAGACAUGAAUGCAUAAGGUGGAGGAGACACCUAUUUUGUCUAUAAAAGUUACAUGUGCAUAUAAAAGGUAUUGGCAUCUUAUAAAGAAGGAGGACCUAUGAUUGGCACAUUUAUAGGUAAAGUUACUACUUAAUAAAUUUAGAUGACUUUCCUAACUUUUCAUUUAAGUAAGAUACUUGCUCAAAAUGUGAAUGGAAAUACAUACCACAUUAGCGUAAUAUUUCAAGGGAUUAAGGUCAUUCAUGAGGUUGUAGAGGAUUUGUGACUAUGUUAUUAUAAGACCCCGUAAAUUUAACAACCUUGAUACCGUUAGAUACAUUUUUAUAUGAUAUUUAUUUUGAGUGGAACAUUUUUUAUAAAAACGUUUGAAAAAUAUAAUUUUAUAUGGUUAUUAAUAUUACUACUUCCGAAUAUGAUUUAAAUUAUACAUAUAAUAUGAGAAAGUUUAUGAAAUUUUUUUUAUUGUAAAGAUAAAAAAAAUUCUCAGAAGAAAAGAAGGUUAUGUUUUUACCAUUUAAAAAUUAAGCGUACGAAAAUUUGUACUCUUUAUACGAGAUUAGGAAAAUUAGAAGCUAAUAAAAUAUAUGUAUUUUUACAUGGAUGUUUUAAUAAAAUAUUAGUGUAUGUAUUAAUUUUAUAUGGUACCAUAAUUUAUUAAUAUUUUAAUAUUUUAAUAGUAGUACUUUAGGAUAAGGAGUUCUUGACAAUUAAGAGGUGACAAGGAUGUCACCACGUGGCUACAUAGCAAGGAGCAGCAAGUGACUAAUACAAAUUAUCAUGUUGGUGGCAUCUUAUAGCCAAUUCUUAGUGAUAAAGUCAUGGCUUUAAUUGUGUGGGACCAUGGACAUAAAUAAAGCAAUUCUUCACUUAAGCUCUCAUUUUAGUGAUAUGGAAUUUACAAAACGAGGUUGCUCUCUACAGGGCUUAGACAAACAAAAACGAGCAGAGGGGUUAGUCACGACAAGUAUACAUUUGUUUGGUUGUUUCUAACUCGUGGUGCUAUUGUUAAGCCGGAAAUAGUUCAAGAUUGAGGUGUAGAGGAGAUUGUUCACAAAUAUAAGUAUGAAGUUGAUAUUAAAGGUAUGUUAAGGCUAAUCCUUUCUUCUUUUGGCAUGAUCCAAGUAUAAUAUUAUUCCAUAAAUGAUUCUACUCUUAGUAGUUAAUGAUGUCUUUGCUAUUCAUUCCUAUGAAAUAUAAUUCAAAGAAUGUCUAAGUAUGUUUCUAAGUCUCUAUUGAGGAAUAUGAUAAAGAUGUUAAUGUUCAUAAUAUAGUGAUACAUGCAUCUUCAUGCAUUUACCACCGUGCUACGGCCGGUUGGGUAGUCAUGCAUAUUCAUUUACUACCAUGUUAUGGCCGGUUGGGCAGUCAUGCAUAUUCAUUUACCACCGUGCUACGGCUGGUUAUGCAUCCAUGCAUCUUCAUUUACCAUCAUGCUAUAGCCAGUUGGGCAAACAUGUAUCUUUAUUUACCAUCAUGCUACGACCGGUUGGGCAGUCCUGCAUAUUCAUUUACCACCGUACUAUGGCUGGUUGGGCAGUCAUGCAUAUUUAUUUACCACCGUGCUACAGUUGAUCGGGCAGGCAUGCAUUUAUCAUCGUGCUAUGGCCAGUCAGGCAGUCAUGUAUUUACCAUCGUGCUACGGUCGGUCGAGUAUCAUGCAUUUACCACCGUGCAACGGCCGGUCGGGCAGUUACCACUGAUCAGUUGGGCAGUCAUGUUACAAUAUGGAUAAUAGUCUCAAAGAGAAGCAUUAUAUAUAUAUAUAUAUAUAUACAUAUAUAAAGUAUAAUUAGUAUCCAUGUAUGUUGGCACCUCAGAGAUUCAGGUUGAUUUUUAUCUGUCUUUAAUUAAUGUUGACUUAUCUUUAUGUUUCAGUUAUGCCUCACAUACUCGGUAUAUUAUUUGUACUGACGUCCUUUUGUUGUGGACGGUGCAUUCAUGCCUACAGGUAUAGGUAAUCAAUUUGACGAGCCCUUGUAGUAGACAAGGUUAGCAUUUAGUAAAGGAUCGGUAAGACUCCAGUUCAUUCGGAGUGCAGUUGAGUCUAUAAGUCAUCGUGUCAGAGUUUUGCUAUAGACUAUGGUUAAGCAGAGGCCCUGUCCCCUUUAGUAUCGAAUAAUCGUAGAGGCUUUGUAGAAAGAGGUUCAUGUUUUACAAUAUGUUAGAGGCCUUGACUGCCCGUAUGUAUUUAUGUAUUAAGAACGAUGGUUCCUUGAUACAACAUUUGCCCACUUAUAGUUAUACAUUACGAGUUGUGGACAUGUUGGCCCAUGAUAGUUAUAGAAGAAAAUAAUGAGUUACGGGGUGGUUUGCUCGGGCGAGUACAGCACCAGGUGCUAGCCACGCCUCUGCAGGUUUAGGGCGUGGCAAAGAAUGUGCACGAUGGUGGAGGACAGAAGCUGACAGGAUGCAACCGCCACUUGAUGAAAGUGAACUAACCAAGUACUUUAUCCGAACCCAGGAGGGAAUAUACUUUGAAAAGAUGAUGGGAAAGAUGGGCCAAAAGUUCCCCCAGCUGGUUAAGAUAGGAGAUUUCCUAGAGGACGGCAUAAAAUCUGUUAAGGUGCAAUCCAUGGUAGGACUGCAAGCGGCCAGCCAGGCUAUCCAGUCAGGAUCGAUCAGUAGCAGAAAGAAAAAGAAAGAAGAGGUCUCAGUAGUCGUCCCCUACUAUCAAACUAGCUCAUCUCCUAGAAGCACCUCGUACUCCCCAAACAACCACUUAUCACCACCCAUCUAUGCUUCAAUCUAUAAUACCCAACCAUGCUACCACCCUUAACACAAUACAACCCUCCUCGAACCAACAACAACCAAAACCCACAAAGACCAUAUGCUCUUGUCCAACUACUACUCACCAAAAUUGACCAGUGUAUGCACCACGUCCUCGUCCCAACAUUGAAGAAAGGGGUCCCAGAACUUAUACCCCGAUUGCUGAGCCUCUGGACCAAUUGUUUGAAAGGUUGAGAAGGGUAGGAUUGAUACACCCAAUCAAAGGAAGGGUUCCUCAACAUGCCUCCAAAUAUUUUUAUGCCACUAAGAGAAGCGUGUAUCAUUCCAAUGUACCGGGGCACGAUACUGAAGACUAUUUCAAGUUGAAAAAUGAAAUUGAAACUCUAAUCAAGAGCAGAGCUAUUCAUUUCACUCCAGCACCACCUAAUGUGAAUUGCAACCCAUUGCCAAAUCAUCAAAACUGGGGAGCUUACAUGAUCAUGUUAGAUGAAGAAUAUGACUUGAAGGGAUCUAUAUCACUAUAGGGAAUGCAGAAGCCGCAAGGAUCCCUCCUCAAAAGGCUCCUAUCUUUAUAGUACAACUAAAGCCUACAGUGACAGUUCAAACUUAUCCGCAGCAACCUGCCGGCACUACUCAAUGAAGAAGAUCAAGAAUAAAAAAUCGUCUCUUGGACCUAUCAGCAAAAAGGAAAAGCCAAAAUGACAGACUCUACCACAGCCCAUGGUAUGAGUAGGUCUAGGAUAUGCUACGCCUCAGAAGAGGUCAAUCGAGGAAAUACGGGGAGAGAAAAAAUUCCAAGGAGGAACAUAACAAACCUAGAAGCCACGGAGUUUUGGAAAAGGAUGUCAAGUAGAGAGUAUUAUAUGGAAGAACAAUUAAAGAAAACUCCAUUGCAGAUAUCCAUCAUGGAUCUAUUGAUGAGCUCUAACAGCCAUAUGGACGUUUUGUUAAAAGUACUAAGAGGGGUAAGUGUACCAAGUAACACCCCAUCGAGGCAUUGGCAUCACAAUAUAAGGAAUAGAGCAAGAGACUCCAAGAAAGCAAACUAAAUCAUAGAUAUAAAAGUUUCCCUACAAAGGGGUUGGCUUCAACAACCCAUAAGGGACGGUUUGCCAAGCUACACAAACAGUUGAUUUGCUUAUAGUCGCAAAAAUUUUCCUACAAAGGGGCUGGCUUCAACAACCCAUAAGGGACGGCUUGCCAAGCUACACAACUCAUAAAACUUUUGUACUAUAAAUAACGUUAGUUGUUUAUAACUCAAAAAACUUUCGUACUAUAAUAAGCUAACUUUCUUAGAGUAUUCUUACUCUAUUUUCAUACAUGGACCGGCCUUUCCAUCCAUUUUAAAGAAAGAACAAGAGGAAANNNNNNNNNNNNNNNNNNNNNNNNNUACAAGAUGAUCUUACAACUACUACAAGGCCUCCUUUAUAUAGGAUUAGGAGGUUACUACAAGACAAACUUACAUUAUAAAAUAAACCUAUCUUAUAUAGAAAACUUAACUACAAUUGGGUCCCUCUUGGAAUGUGAAGGACUUUAGGCAAAACAUCUAAAAAGCUCCUGAAAAUAUGUGAAAGGGGUGAAAUAUACAUGGUAUAGCAUGUGAAAGUAUGAUGGAGCAUGUGAUGGCAUGUGAAAAUAGGGUGUUGCAUGUGAAAGCAAGUGGAAGUGGGGUCUGGAUAGUAUGGAAAGAUGUGAAAAUUUGUCUUGGCAUGGGUAGAUGAUUUUUUAGGGUUUUUUGGUAGGUAAUGUAAGAUUAUGGUGGGAUUAGCAGGGAUUUAGAUAAUUAUCCUUCGUUGAUUCUAGGGUUGUCUUCUAGGCAUCUUUUCAAAGACCUUGUGUAGAUUAGCCUGGAACUUGCCAGUCGUUCUUCGCUGUGCUCUUUCUCCUUUGGAUUGAGAGAUGUAAUUCGCAACCUUAAUCUGGAUAUGUCAUGAGUGAUCUUUUCUCAAAUGACUUCGUAUGGGGUUUGAUAUUCUUUUGUUGCUUUCUGGACUUUUUCCCUGUGCGGAUGAGUGUUGGUCUAAUUCCAGUUUGCCCAAUCUUUUGGCCAUAUCUCUCUCGGGAUGCACUUGUUUUGCUGGAAAAGGAUUCUUUCUGUUUUUCUAUAUAUUCUUCUUCCAUGGAUAAAAUGGACACGAGAAAUUUUCACCAGAAUGAUGACUCUGCUUGUACCUGGACUUUUCCAUUGAUAAUCUUCACUGGCCUAUGGAACAUGAAUACCUUUGUUGUGUAGGAAUCGUUGAAGCAUUUUAUCUAAUAUCUUCUAGGCUUGAACCAUAGUAAAAAUACUUUAAGAUCUAGUUCAAUGUUACCAAAAUCCUUGAAGACGUUGCAUUUGAAUUCCAUAAAAAUAUAAUACUGAUGGCAUAGGUACCAAAAAAACCAUAAUAGUUCUUGUGGAAAAUCCUUGGCUUGUGCCCAUAAGGCUUAAGAAUGGAUCCUCCGUGUUGUCGAAAAACUUGGAGCUCAUAAUAAGUUCUCCUUUCCAUUAAAAUUAAUGGAUCAAAGGGAUCCAUGAGGUUGAACAACUCUGGUGGAUGAUCUAUUAGUUUCAAUGAACUUGUUCCUAAUACAUUUGAAAACAUGAAGAUGUGGCUAAUUAACUUUUACUUUGACAUCAUCUUCGUUGGGAAAAAUCUCCUUGAUAAUUCUUCCGGUCGAGACAGAAAAUCUGCAAAAAAAAAAAUCUUUCCUUUCAGGUGCUUAACUUGAAACUUAUGUGGAGAGAACCAUUGAGCCCAUCUAAGAAUCUGAUGANNNNNNNNNNNNNNNNNAUUUCUUGAUUCCAUUCUUUAUUGCAAGAAUUUCCUUGAAAGUGGAGUGAUAAUGUUGCUCGUCAUCUUUGAACUUUCCACUUCAUAUCCGCAUAUUUUCCUCGGGCCAUUUUUUUCUUCCAAUAGAACGGCACUCCAAUAUUCAUUAUUGACAUCAGUUUGCAGUAUCUUCUUUACAUCUGAAGGGAUGUAGAUGGACUUGACAUUUUUAAUUAUCUCCUUUAUUUCCCUAUCUUCAUCAUCUUGUUUCUUUUCCCAUGAUGGAGCAUUUUUCUUGAGCAUCUAUGUGAGCGGAGAAAUGUAUGUCGAGAUAUUUGGGAUGAAAUCUCUUACAUAAUUUAUGACACCCAAAAAUUGUUGCAUCUACUUUGUUGUGAGGCCGGUAUCUGGAAACUUUAGAAUUUCCUGACAUAUAUGGGGUCCUAGACUAUAUGCACCUUGGACAAAAUUCAUUCCUAGAAAAUCAAUCUCUUUUUGAGCAAGAACCAUUUUUUUGCUAAAAGCAUAAUUCCAUACUAUGUUACCAAUGCCUCAAAUUCAUGAAGCAAGUUGACAUGUUCCUCCAAUGUAUCACUAAAUAACAGGAUGCAUCAAUGUAAACUAAAGAGGUAUGGAGGAUGGGAUGGAAUAUUUUAUCACGACUUUUUGGAACAGGUGCAGUUUUUAAUCCCGAAUGGCAUAACUUUCCAUUGAAAAUGAUGAUCGGGGAUGCAAAACCCCGUUUUGGCUCUUUCUUCAGGGUGAAAUCCCAAUUUCCAAAAUCCAGAUUUAAGAUCAAACUUGGAAAAAUAUUUGGCCUUGGCUAAGUGGGAGAAAAAAGUAAGUUUAUUUGGGAUAGGGAAUUUAUCAUCUUGGAGGAAGUGGUUGAGCGGCUGGUAGUUAAUGACUAACCUGAGUUUUCCUCUUGCCUGCUCAACUCUUUUGUUGACAUAAAAUGCUUCGCAUGCCCAUUGUGAAUAUGAUGGCUCUAUUAGAUCAAAUUCUAAGAGUUCUUCACAUUCCUUUUUUGCAAACUGAAGAUGAUCCAGAUUCAUGCCUGAAUGACUGGCUUUUGUUGGAUUGAUGCUUUCAUUCUUCUUAAAAGGGAGCUUGAUAAAAAAACUCUUCAUUCAUCCAUAAUAGGCUUUUCCUUUUCUUCAUAAAAUCCCUAUGGGAUUCAGCACAUGAAUGCUCAAUGAGAUUUUGUUCAAUAUCUUUGAUUUGUUCGUCAUUGGUGAUUUGGAAUAACCUUGGAAUUUUAGAAUAAGGUCUGAACUUCUUCUUAAAGGUUAUCUCGUUAGCCCUAAUCUGGAGUUGAUCUUUUAGUUGUCUGAAAAUGUCAAAUCCAAUAAUAAGAUCUUUCCCUGGUACAUCGGACCCUAUUGGCUUGGUUCAAUAUUUCAAUCCUGGAAAAAACUCAAUUGUGACUGGGUGCUUGUGAUGACAGUUGCGGUCAAGAUUCUAUUUCAUGCAGUGUUGAAAUCCUUAAAGUGUGGCACCCAUUGAUCUUUAGGGAGAACAGCAGGGUUCAUGAGUGAACAGGCAGAUCCAGUGUCAAUGAAAGCAAUGACUCUGGUUGGUUUACCCCAUUUGGAUGAAUAAACCUUGAGUUCUACUUGCGGGAUGACUGUGAUAGCAUUGAUCUCUUCCUAGUCUUUAGCGGCUGGUUCGGAUAUUUGAUAGCGGUCAUCACCAUGAUCUUCGUAUAUAUCAAGAGAGAAUAAUAUUUCUUCAGUGGUUUCAUCCUCCAUAGAGAAUAUUGACUCGAGGUCUUCUUCUUUUUCAAGAUGUAUGCCAGUGUAAUCUUCAAUUUCUUGUAAGAGCUUGACAAAUUUCCUUGAUUGGGGACAAUUUCUUGUGAAAUGUCCAAUCUCGUGGCAAUAAAGCAUCUGUUCUUUUUGUGAAAAUUUUGUGGCCUCCUACGUCUGAAGUAUUUUGUGCGCCUCCUGGACCUUAAUUUUCCGUCUGGAAUUCUUGGCCAUCUAAACCUCCUGAAUCAUCUCCAUCGCCUAGAUGUGUGGCAGGAACAUCCUGAUCUGGUGACUAGAUCAGAUUUGCGACAUGCUUUGUCAAGCGCUUGAUUCUGUUGGAUAAUUUGUUUUAGGGCAGAGCGCUUCGUACAAAUGUCAUCCAAUGCGAUGAAAAUAGCUUGCCUGAUGUAACCAAGUUGUGGGAUUGUUAUGGACUGAAACGUUUCUUCAAUGAUGGUCAUGGUUCGGCUCGCCAACAACUUUGGAAGGGAAGAGACAAAGGCUUGCUUUAGAUUGAUGUCUCCACCGAUCUCGAAGUAUAUCUUCGCCAUUUUUUGAAAAUGCUUGUCAAUGUCAUUUCUAUCGAAUGACACACAUUUCAUCUCAAAGAGUUGUCUUCGCAUAUUUUCUUGUCUUUGGACAGUAUCUCCACAGAAAACUUAAUGUAGGAUUCUGAUAUUGAAGGCAAAGUCUUGGGAAGUAAGAAAAGUAUUUUUGCCUUGAAUUCCAAGUGAGUUCCACCAAUCUCUAAGGAUUCCUGAGAACCGUGAAAUGAGUUCUAACAGGAUGAUAUACUUUUCUCGNNNNNNNNNNNNNNNNNNNNNNNNNCUAAGGUGAAAGUGUGGAAACCAGUUCCAACUAGUUUUGACGCCAUGGGCUCAUAUCCUGUUUCUGGGAUUGGUUCUUCUAUCAUGCCUCCUUGUUCCUCAUCUACUUCAGAUAUUUUUGGGUCUCUUUGCUAGUUGACAAAUAUCGGGGGAUCUUCAUCUUCGGAAGAGUUUGUUGGGGAUUCAUUGCUUGAUUGAGAGUUGUCUUCAAUUAUUUCAUUGUCUGAUGAAUUUACAUAUUCCGACCAUGGGGUAUCUUCUUCUGAUAUAUUUCUUGGAUGGGAGACAUAGAGGUCUAGAGCCUUCUGAUCAGAAAUCAUCAGAUUUUCGAGGUUGGACCCUUUUGAACUUUCACCAUGAUCUCGUCUUUUCUUGGUUUGUUUUUGCGCUGCAAGAACAUCUUUUCUUUCCCAAACCAUUUUGUAAUAUCAAAAUCAUGUUCUUCUUUUAAGGGUUGGGUGAAAGAAACAGGAUUUUGUGAGGUAGUUGGAAAAGUACAAAAGGUAUAGUCCAAUUUUGGUGGGGAAUAAGAUUGUGGCGACAUAGGGAAGAAGGUAGGUUUUGAAGGGAAAAUUGGGGUCUUUUGUGACUCAAAGUGGUCAUUUCUCAGAAGUUGAAUUUGUUCUCUAAUUUAAAUCGUCUUCUUUUGUUAUUAUUGGAAGAAUUGGAAAAAUGAAGUUCCUGGCAGACAAAUCUCAUAUUGUAAAUUUGUCAUCCUUAGUUCCAACGCUUUGAUUAGUCCUGCAUGGUGAGACGAUGUCUACUCCACUUUUUCUCAAUUGUUUCCACCUUGCUCAUCAUUUUGCUUUGUUGGGGGCCACGUUCUUUAUGGUGUUGCUGAUGUUGUUCAGCACUUUGUUUUGGCACAUGGAAUUUUCUGAUUGCCAGUUCAUUGUUGCUUCGAUGUCACUUGUUGGGGGUUUUUCUCCAGUAGGUAGCACUAUGUUUUUCUUGGAAAUUUUGGAGCAUGGCUUAUACCCUCUUUUUCAAAAGGUUGAAGUGAAGGAAAAUCUUGGGUAUAACUAGAGCUUGAAGGACUUAGCAUGAAUAUCUGUGGUUGUGUGGGAUUUGUGGUUUUUUUAGUUUUUUAGGUAUGAGCUUAUGGUGGUUUGGGUUUGGGUGUGGUUUCACUAUCUUCCUAGCUUGGAGUGAAUUUUUCUAAUAAUUUUGGCCAUUCUUGGGGGUUUUAACUAAUAAGAAAUUCAUAUUUACCUCGAUGGGUUAAUAAGCCAAUAGAAGGGUCUUUAUUUUCAUAUUUUGCUCGAAAUUGCUUUUUAGUGGUUUUCCCUUUUUUCUUAGAUUUCGGUUUGGUCUUGUUGAGGCCAAAUCUUUCCCAAUGAUGCAGAUGGUGUUCAUUAUAUUCUCUAAUUGGGUCUUCCAAAUAGUUUGGCAGUCACAACCAAGAUCCCAAGGAUAGUGUCUCGUAAAGGGUCAUUUGAACCACCAAACUCUUUUUCCUUCUUUGUUAAAGUGUUAACACCAGUCAUGUUCUUCCAUGAUGCUUUGUAUAUUCUAGAAGAAUUCUCCGUCAGGUUUAGGGUAUGUAUCUGUUGUAUAUUUUGGUUGAAUUAUUUGGCAAGAGAAGAUGGUUUUAUUGGGUUUUUUGAAAUAGGAAUGGUCAAAGCUUAUGGAAACGGUUUUGUCAUUUCUUUUGGUAAACGUUGCCUCACCAGAUUGUAGAGAUUCUUCCGUGCCCUUAACUUUUCAUAAUUUGUGAUCUAGGAAUCAGGAAGAAUUUUGACAAGCUCAUCUCUAGAGAUUUGUCUAGGUAUUUGGGUACACAUGGUGUUUCUUUUGGUAGCAUCAAUAUUCAAGAGUAAAGCAUUUUCUCCGCCAGGAAGGCAGAGAUCCAUGGCAUGAUUUUGGACCCGCCAUGUCAUUUGGUGAUGAAGAGUGGCUUGGAUAGAAUCUUUGGGUUGUGGAGCUCCUUGGAUAUGGACUUAGAUUUUUAGUGCUUCGAUUAAGUAUGGGUCAUAGAGGGACAUGUUGAAAUUUGGAAAGAUAGUUAUGAAGAUAGUCCCAAAAUUCAAGGUAACUUCUACAGUACCUAAAUUCACAUGUUGGUACUCCAAGUAUCUUGUAUCUGGAAGAGAAAGUUGAGCUACAACAGGUUGACCAUUUCUUCCGUGAUAUGUUAAAGCGAUUCGGAUAGCACCAAAAUGGAUAUGGGUAAAACCAAGAUCUCUCCAUUGUCUGGGAAAAUCAUCUGGGAUUUGAAGGGUGAUAAAUUGUUCCUCUCAAAUGGCAAGAAUAGGAUGCUGGUAAAGUUUUGAGGCAGCAACAUAUUCUUUGACUCCUUUUGGUCUGCGUUGGACUAGGGAACGAAUUUGGGUCCAGGGUGCAAAUGAUUUUUUGGCAAAAGCUGAGUAAGGGUUUAUGAGGGGUAGUUUAGUGGAGGAUACUUUCUAUUCAUCGGGUAGGAUAUCUACUUCAUAGAGGUAAUCAUAUUUUUUGGACAAGGUUUUAUAUAGAGUAGGGGACAUAUUCAAUUUUGCAAGGGAAGAGGAUGAUGGAAAUGACUCAGACAUAUUUAGUAAAUUGUUCCUCCCUCCUAAAGGAUGGGCUAGCUCUGAUACCACAAUAUAAGGAACUGAGCAAGACACUCUAAGAAAGUAAACUAAAUCAUAGAUAUGAAAGAAAAUGGUAAAAGAAAACAUGAUCACUUUUAGAAGAGACGAACUUCUUGUCAAGGGCGCAAGUCACAAAAAGGAUCUUUACAUUACUAUCAAAUGUAGGGACAAAGUGGUAUCUCGAGUGCUGGUCGACGGAGGAUCAGGAGUCAACAUCUGCCUGCUCUCCACCCUACGGGACUUGGAAUUUAUUUGAGGGAGGUCAAGGAAAGCCACAUAAGGCUAAGGGCCUUUGACGGUUCGCAAAAGGAUGUUAUUGGGGAAAUUUAUCUAGCCUUUCAGAUCAGGCACGGUCGACUUUCCAGUAUUAUUUUAAGUGAUGGACAUUUUCUUUACUUAUAAUUUGCUGUUGGACAGGCCCUAGAUACAUAUGGAAGGGGUCAUGUCGUCUACCUUGUACCAAUGCAUAAAAUUAGAUUGGGGAUGCCAAGAGAUCAUGGUCCACGGUGAGUGAGGUCACUCCGCCUAUUUGGAGUAUGUUGCCAUUCAUUGAAGGGCUAGACGGAGUCGCUUUCCAUGCUGUAAAAAUCAUGAAGACUAUAAAAGAGGAGAAGACUGAACAAAAUCCGAAAAUGCAAUCGCUGUAUAGAUCCAAGAUGGUCGUGAGGGAGAUGAUGAAAUAUAGAUAUAGGCCAGGAACAGGGUUGGGAGACAAGUCAGAUGGGGUCAUAGAGCCAAUUGAACACAAUGGGAUGAAAGGAAGGGCUGGCAUAGGAUAUAGCCUUUAGAAGGGAAAACUCGUACCGUUAGCUCUGGGAAAAAGGUUUUUGUGUCAGAGAUUGUUUCAAGCCCGGGACAAAGUUCAACACUCGAUGAUGAUAUCAUCGACGGGAUGGGGAAGCUGUUCGUGAAUAUGAUUGAAGAAUACUGUGAAGGAACUAAAAUCAAGACACCGACUAUCAGGGAUGCCGAACCUAGGGAAGAGUUGCAGAAUUGGACGUCCAGUCCAUCUUUGGUUCAUCGAGAGUCUUGGUAGUAUGGAACUGUAAAAGUUUUCUUUUUAAAUAACACGGUCAAUUAAAGCCUAUACUGUGUCUGUAACUUUUUGUCAUUUGCCUUUUUUGAAUGCUUAAGACAUUCCCCUUUUGAUGAAAUAAAAAGAAUAUUUUUCAUAAAUAUUGCAACUCUUUUUUACUGCUUUAUUUAUACCUAGCUUUUCUUUUUAGUAAGCAAACCAUUAAAACCGCCUUCCAUGAUUAUGACAUGUAACAAAACCGUUGAACGCAAUGAUCAGUAUGAGGAAUAUGACAGAAGUAUGAUGCCAUACAAUCUCCCAUAGGAGAUUGAACAACUGGAGAGUUAGAAGAAGCCCAACAUUGAAGAAACGGAAGUAGUUAAUCUUGAAAGCGAAGAAGACAUGAAAGAAACAAGAAUCAGCAUUCACCUAGAAGUCGAGCAGAAAGAAAAAUGAUUGAGCUCCUCCGACAGUAUGGUGAAGUGUUCGUGUGGUCCUACGAUGACAUGGCAAUAUUAAGCACCGAUAUUAUCUCGAAUUGACUACCCACUGACCCUAACAGACCGUCAAUCAAGCAGAAGUCCAGGAAAUUCAAGCCUGAUUUAAGUCGGAGGAUAAAAGAAGAGGUGACCAAGUGGAUAGAAGCAAAUGUAGUAGUAGUCACCAACUAUCCAAGCUGGUUGGAAAACAUCAUCCCAAUGCCCAAAAAGGAUGGAAAGAUCAGAAGAUGUGUGGAUUAUUGGGAUCUCAACAAAGCUAACCCAAAGGACGAUUUCCCUUGUUGAAUAUCCACAUCCACAUCGACAAUUGUGCCAAGCAUGAACUGCAAUCGUUUGUGGAUUGUUCUGUUGGAUAUCAUAAAAUUCUAAUGCAUGAGAAAGACAUAGAGAAGAUAAUUUUCACCACUCCUUGGGGAGUCUACUAUUAUAGGGUCAUGUCGUUCGGUCUCAAGAAUGACAUCGCCACCUACAUGAGGUCCAUGACGACCCUCUUUCACGACUUGAUUCAUAAGGAGAUUGAAGUGUAUGUGGAUGAUGUCAUCAUAAAAUCUCAAAAGAGUUCAGAGCACUUGGACGAUUUGAGGAAAUUUUUCGAACGCCUGCGAAGGUAUGGCUUGAAGCUGAAUUCGGCAAAGUGCGCAUUUGGAGUCCCUGCUGGAAAACUAUUGGGUUUUAUUGUAAGCAUGAUAGGGGUAGAACAAUACCCACCAAAAAUCAAGGUCAUCCAGGAAUUACCACCACCAAAAAGCAAGAAAGAUGUCAUGAGUUUCUAGGGAAGAUUGAAUUACAUAAGUCACUUCAUAGCCCAGUCCACAUUAAUCUAUGAACCUAUCUUCAAACUGCUAAAGAAGGAGGCUACCACGAAAUGGAUGGAGGAGUGCCAGAAAGUUGUCGACAGAAUCAAAGAGUAUCUUUCAAACCCGCCAGUACCAGUUCCCCUGAAUUAGGGAAAUUAUUGUUGCUCUAUUUGUUAGUCUUGAUCAAUACCCUCGGCUAUGUGAUGGGGCAGCAUCAAGAAACUGGAACAAAGGAGAAGACCAUCUACUACUUAAGCAACUCACACCAUGCGAGGCCAAGUAUACUUUGAUAGAAUGCACUUGUUGUGAUCUGAUCUGGAUUGCUUAGAAGCUAAGGCAUUACAUGUCAGCAUACACCACACAUUUGAUAUAUUGACUCGAUCCACUCAAGUACAUUUUUCAGAAACCAAUGCCUACCGGAAAGCUAUCUGAGUGGAAAAUUCUCCUCGAUGAAUUUGAUAUUGUGUAGAUAAGUCAUAAGGCUAUCAAAGGAUAAGCUUUAGCCGACCACCUCGCUGAGAAUCCAGUGUAUGGGGAUUAAGAACCACUUACCACAUAUUUCCUAGAAGAAGAAGUACUAUUCGCCGGGAAGACAUCGCAGAAUCAUGCCCCGGAUGGAGGUUGUUUUUCAAUGGAGCAGCAAACUUCAAAAGAGUCGGGAUUGGGGCAGUCCUAAUUUUGAAAUCUGGACAAUACUAUCCAGCAUUGAUAAUAUUUCCGUGUACCAAUAAUAUGACUGAAUACGGGGCAUGCAUCCUUAGAAUCAGAAUGGCAGUCGACAUGAACAUCAAAGAACUUUUGGUCAUAGGAGAUUUUGAUUUGCUGAUACACCAGGUCCAAGGAGAACGGUCAACUAAGAAUGUUAAGAUACUGCCAUACCUACAUUGCGUAAAGGAGUUGUCAAGAAAUUCACAAAGAUUGAGUUCAACAUGUCCCCAUGAUUCAGAACGAGUUUGUUGACGCCCUUGCAUGCUUAUCAUCUAUGAUUCAGCAUCCAGACAAGAACUACAUCGACCCAUCGAGAUAGAAAUCAAGGAUCAACAUGAUUGUUGCUUCCAUGUGAAUGAAAAACCAGAUGGGAGACCUUGGUAUCAUGACAUCAAGAAAAUCUUGCAACCCAGGAAUACCCAGAAAAUGCUACAAAUGGUCAACUUAGGUUUGCUGAGAUGUGUAGACGCUGUUGAAGCAACCAUAUUGUUGGAAGAAAUACAUGCAGAGACAUGCGGACCACACAUGAAUAGGUUCACGUUAGCCAAGAAGAUUUUGAGAGCUGGAUACUUUUGGAUGACCAUGGAAAGCGAUAGCAUCCGCUAUGUGCAGAAAUGUCACAAGUGCUAGAUUCAUGGAGAUUUCAUCUAAGUUCCACCAAAUGAGUUAAACGUAAUGGGUUCACCCUAGCCUUUCGCCUCCUGGGGCAUGGAAGUGAUACGACCCAUAGAGCCUACAGCAUCAAAAGGACAUCGUUUCAUUUUGGUAGCCAUCAAUUGUUUCACCAAAUGGGUUGAGGCAUCUACUUACGAGGCCGUUACAAAGAAGGUGGUGGCAGAUUUUGACCGAAACGACAUCGUUUGCAGAUUUGGGAUACCGAAGUCCAUUAUCACUAAAAAUGCUGCUAAUAUUAGUAGAGACCUCAUAAGGGAAACCUGCGAGAAGUUCAGAAUCGUCAUCUGCAAUUUCACAGCUUACAGACCACAAAUGAAUGAGGUAGUCGAGGCAGUUAACAAGAAUAUCAAGAGUAUUCUGCGAAAGAUAGUGGACAAUCACAGACAAUGGCAAGAGAAGUUGACCUUCGCUUUGUUGGGUUAUUGGACUACUAUGAGAACAUCUAGUGAGGCAACGUCGUACAUGUUGGUAUAUGGCACCGAAGCGGUGAUACUCGCAGAAGUUGAAAUAUCAUCCUUAAGAGUCAUUAGAAAAGCAAAAUUGGACUACGUAAAGUGGAUACGGGUCAGGCAAGAACAACUCAUGCUCAUUGACGAGAAAACAAUGAAUGUAGUAUGUCAUGGACAGCUAUACCAGAAUAGGAUGGACAAUGCAUUUAACAAAAGAGUGAAGCCUCGCCAAUUCACAUGUGGCAGUUGGUUCUAAAGAAAAUCUUUCCCUAUCAAGAAGAAGCUAAAGGGAAAUUUGCACCGAACUGGGAAGGUCCUUACGUGGUCCACAAAGCACUAUCUAUUAGAGCUCUAAUCUUGGCAAAAAUGGAUGGAAGAUUCAACACGAAGCUGAUCAACUCGGAUGCAAUCAAGAGAUAUUAUGCUUGAAGAUAGAUAGAGUUAGGAUUUUGAUGUAACAGAACUACGUUCAACUUGGCUUCCCACGGAGAGAUACGUAGGCAACCCACGUAGGGUUUGGUUUCUACCCCUUUAUCUUGUAAUAGAAAAACCAAAUGUCAUUUUUUGUAUGUUGUUCAGGAACUACGCCAACUUGAUUUCCUAAGAAAGGAAUACGUAGGUAAUCCUUAUCGAAUUCAGUUGUCUUUUGUAAUUGAACUGCGUUCUUGCCUUAUUCCGCUUGGAUACGUAGGCUGUCUGAGUUAGACUCGGCCAUUUUCGUUUCUCAAUCUCAUCAAUUUACUUUUAUUGUAGUUGAACUACGUUCUGACCUUAUUCCAUUUUGGAUAUGUAGGCUGCCUGAGUCAGGCUCAGUAGUUUCCUCACAUUUCAUCAUUAUCCCACGAACUACGUCCAGACCUGAUUCUAUUUUGGAUAUGUAGGCAACCUAAAAGAGUUCGGUCAUAGCCUUAGGAAACCUCUGUAAUGCAUUAGCCUUAGUUAGCCAGUAGCCACAUUGUCAAAGACACCAUGGAAGAUCGACAUCGACGGGAUGAAAUUCGCAGAGAGAUGCGUUCGCGUGCGAAGAACCUUUUGUAACAUGUCAUAUCUGGGACAACGGCGUUUUCCUUAGGCACAUUACCUAGUGGAUUUUCUAAAACAAAAGAACAAAAAAAUUCGGGACGACAGCGCUUGCCUUAAAAGAACAAGUAUUUUCAAAAUAUUUUAUAUAUAUAUAUAUAAAGUAAUAUGUUCCAUCUAUCGAACUCCGUGGCGCAGUCAUGUCAAAGGCUGGGGAAAAUCAACACCAUGGUCAACGCAAACCAACCCCCCACCCCCCCCACCCCCCACCCCAACCUAAGAAGUUUUCUUUGAGUGAAAGGUUAAUAGAGAGUAAAUAAUCGCUCGAACCACACUAGGGUAAAUAAAGGAACCGCCACUUGCCUAAGAUUAUCUCUCCUUCCUCUUACUUCAAGCACAGCUAAAAUUAACUCUUGAGUUCUUUAUAGGUGCCUCAGAAUCAGACAGCUGAUAUGUAAAUCUAUAAAUAGCAAAUUGUCUACUCGCCAUAUCGCUUAUCAAAGACCUGUAAAUAACAAACUGUCGGCUCAACCAAUAGGAGCACCUUGUACAAGUCACACAUCGGCUUCACCAAUCGAAGUUUUGUACAUAGAAAAAUAGUCAGCUCAAUCAAUCGGAGCGCCUUGUACAAAUAAAACGUCAGCUUCUCCAAUUGGAGACUCAUAUAUAGCAAACUGCAAACUUCGCCAAUGAAAAGCAAUCCUCAGCACCGCUCCAUCAGUCACGAAUGUUGGAAUAGACAAUUGCGAACCUCAAUACCAAUGUUCUGCUAAUCGAUGGUCGUAACUGAGCUUCGCAGCUAAGAGUAUCUCUUGGCAUGCAAAUAUUUCGUUUUGCUAUUACCUUGAAUGUUUUAACAUUUGUUCAUGCUGCAUUAGGCAUGAUUUUGAUCGCUCCCAAACAGGGGCUACUUUACAUUUCAAUGCAAAGCUCUCCCAAUAAGCAGAGAUGCAUUCUACAAAUCAAGCUCUCCCAGCAAGUGGAGACAUUUCUUAGUGCAAAGCUCUCCUAGCAAGCGGAGACGCACUUUACCAAUCAAUAUCUCUCUAUAAGUGGAGAAAAUUUUCAAAUGCCCCGAAAAUAGUACCCAGCCCGGCUAACAAAUCAAGUCAGGAUCAAGUGUCCCAUCAUCCCAAUCCCAAAUAAUGGCUCGCCGACAGCCAAGCAUUAUCAUUCUUGAAUCAAUUAUAUUGCAUCUUAAUAUAUUCUGCAUUACAAUAGAUUGGUAUCUGUGUAUUUCAUUUUGUUUUGCAGGAAUAAAAACCGCAACGUGGAACUACUUCUUAGCAGCAGAUCGAACUACAUCGCUAUAGGGACAGCCAAGCCAGUAGCAGGCUCAAGAUCCCAGCUCAAAAUUUCGAAUCAUUCAAAUCAGUCGGCAAAAUUCAAGCCAUCAUGAGUGACCAAUCUUCUGUCUCACUGUAUCGUCAUAAUACAAUACUGGGCAAUUCCUGCGAGUGUUGUUUCCCCAAAGUCCCUACUCCAGAACUACAUGAGGCUUAAUCCUCGUUAAGCGCGAGGUAUGUAAGCAAUUUAAAUCCAGAAUUCGGCCCAAUAUUCCCAAACUUUCCAAGAUUCUUCAUCAAUUCAUAAUUUUCAUGUCAUUCUUGCACUGCGUACCUAAAGUCGGGACAAAAUUGGCUUUGGUUCAAUUUCUUUGCCCAAAAAUUCUUUCAUCGUCUAUGGUCAAAGAGGGGCAGCUGUUGACGGUCAAUUUUGACCCUACCUUUUAAAAUCAAUUUGUUCACGCUUAACAAUUUACAACAAAUGAUUUAAAAGUAUUUUUUUUAUUAAUGAAAGUCUGUUUUUUAAAAUUAAUUAAGCAUUAGUUUCAAAAUUAAUCACAUAGUACUAAUAUUGUGUAAUUACGAAUAUAUUUACUAUUAUAAAAUAACUUUUGUCUAUACAUUAUGUAGGUUUUAUAAUUUGACAAAAUUACUCCUUAACUUCCAGUAAAUUAGGUUAUUAUUUUAAUAUUUUGGAAUUAGUGAUUGUAUACCUUGAAAAUGGUAUCUACAAUUAUAUUUGAUUUGCGAUUCUAAAAACAUGUGAUUUAUUUUUAUACUAGUUGUUAGGUAGUAGAUGCUAGUGUAAGUAAAGGAAAUAAGAAAUGCAAACCAAAAAGGUUAUAAUGCUGGGCCUCGAGCUGGCUGCAGCGGGGGCUUGAGGUCUAGAUGGGCUAAUAGAGAUGACUUAUCGAUGGAGGAUCAAUUGUAACGAGGGCCUCAAAGAUGGCCUUUUGCGGUUAAUAAUGAGCAAUAAAUGAAGAACAAUAAAUGAACAAUGAAAGAAUAAGCAAUAAAUGUGAUGAAUCAAUUGUUUAAGCAAAGAGCAAAGAAUGUUCUAUUGUAUUCAAUAUGUCGUGUAAUGAUCUGAAUCCCCUUAAAAGAUGACUAGGGUUCCCUUUAUAUAUGAGGGGAAAUCCCAACAUAGUACAUGUGUAAUAAUGAUGAGUAAAUGCUACUGGUGUAUAAUGACUUAGUACGGAUUUGUACUAUUCUUGCAGACCUAGUCAGCUCUAACCAUGUGUCUUUGGGAGCUUUCCUGCCUUUCCAUAACGGUCAUCAAUUUGUGUUGCUCCAAAUUCGACCUCCGAUGUGCUCCCUCGAGGGAGCAUCUUGGGGGCAUACUCCAAAUUUUCCUUCUAGCUCCUCGAGGACGGGUAUGAAAUUCUACGAUAACCCCGAAGUCGAACUCUUCCAAUUUUGGCUGUAUACAGAUAGUCCUCGCAUUUCUUAAAAUGAAAUGAUAAGGAACAAUCUUUACCUCGACUUUCUCGAACAUCACAUGAUGACGUCAUGCUCGUGACUUAAGCGCUCGAAGUGACUGGAACGUCCCAUCAGUCCGUCUCCCUAGAAGCAUUGAAUAUACCGCCGAUUCGCUUUCCCAAAAGAGGUGAUCGUGUCGUCGAUCCAUUUCCCCAAAAAGCAUUUUUUGCGCCAUUGGUACAUUUUCCAAAGGCAUUUAUUGCCCUAUCGGUUACGCUACUAUCCCUCUUAUAAAUGGGGGAUUGCUUGAGACAAGACUUUACUCGGUGUUUCUUCAACAGCCUUUACCCCUUUCCCUUCUUUACAUCCUCCUCCAAACUCCUAUUUUUAUGGUCCAAACUCAUGGUCAUAAGGUCAUACGGCAAUAACUUUUUCAGUUAUGCCAUGGCUCUUUUUCAAAGCUUUUCCUCACUGAGUGGGGUUAUACUGAGUUGUUGUUGUUGUUGGCUCGAAAUAAUGAGGGACGGGCCUCUAAUUCUUCCCGUAUCAGAAGAUAUGUGGACCGUAAAUCGCUGCUCAUCUCUCUUAACUUCAACCUGGUGUGGCGCCUCAUUCAUUUUGCUUUACAUGGAGUGAGGUGGCAUCAUUUACUAACUUUUGCAUCCCACACUGGUGCAAUGUCUCAAGAAGUGGCUUCACAAUAGUAGUGCUGACGAGACCCAUACUUGCCAAAUUUUCACCAAGCCACAAUUUUCCUUGCUUGUUAAAAGAUUUUGCUAUUUGAUAGGUUAUAGCUCAUCUUUCAUCUAUUGUUGUUUUUGAGGAGAUUCUCGAAGAUGUCGCUCUAAAGAUCGAAAUGGGGUCCGCGAGGAAAUGGUUCUCGCAGAUGUCACUCCCAAGGAUAUACCUUCAAAAGUAGAUUAGGCUUUUUAGAUGUUGUUUUUUGCUUCUUUGUUUCUGUGUAAGGACCCCUCGUGGGCUUUUGUAAUCGUUUUUUAUUAAUACAAAAGUUUCUUCGAUUUGCCUUUGACUUGUGCUGAACUUCCACUUUACCUUUGAUCGGUCUGAAUACUAGACCCGAACAUCGUAAUCCCUUUGGUUCUCAAUUGGUUAAUAUAAUAUUCCUUGAAAUUCUUUCUCAUCCCUCGGACUAAGUCUGGAUUGAUCCGAUACAAACUUAGGUCGCCGGUACUUCUGAGUUCGAGUUAAUUGAGAGCAGGGUCUUGCUUUCCUUUGGAAUAAAGCUUAGACUUUUUAGGCCUUGUUUCUAGUCCUCGAGUGAGAGUUUGCUUGAUCAUCUACAAAUAAAGAUAGCCCUUAGGCCUUUACAAAUAGUCCCCGAGUGAGAGUUUGCUUGAACUUGGAUGGCCUCAAACUGAGCAAAAUUUGGCUUUGAACUUAAAAUGAAGAUAGCCCUAAAGAGUUAUAGAUAGUCCCUGAGAGAGGAUACACUCAAACUCGGGUGGCCCUUGCGCUAAAAUAAUCGAGAGAGCAUUUAAAUUUGAACUUAAAGUGAAGAUAGCCCUGAGGCUUUAUUAAUAGCCCCCGAGCGAGAACUGACUCGAACUCGGGUAGCCUUUUAAUAGUCGAGUGGGCAUUUGCUCGAACUCGAAGUAAAAAUAGCCUUGAGGCUUUAUGAAUAGUCCCCGAGUGAGAACUGGCUCGAGCUCAAGUAGCCCUUGGGCUUAAUAGUCGAGCGAGCGUUUGCACAAACUCGAAAUAAAGAUAGCCCUGAGGCUUUAUGAAAAGUCCCUGAGUGAGAACUUGCUCGAACUCGGGUAGCCCUUGGGCUUGAUAGUCAAGCGAGCGUUUGCACGAACUCGAAAUAAAGAUAGCCCUGAGGCUUUAUGAAAAGUCCCCGAGUGAGAACUGGCUCGAACUCGGGUAGCCCUUGGGCUUAAUAGUCGAGCGAGCGGUUGCUCGAACUCGAAGUAAAGAAAGCCCUGAGGUUGUAAGAAUAGUCCCCGAGUGAGAAAUGGCUCAAACUCGGGUGAUCUGGGGGCUAAAUAAUCGAGUGAGUGUUCGCUCGAACUCAAGAAAAAAAGGUAACCCUGAGGCUUUAUACAUAGUUUCCGAGCGAGAACUUUCUCGAACUCGGGUAGCACGGGGGCUAAAUAAUCGAGUGAAUGACCACUCGAGCCAAAUUCGUAGAUUGUUCCCAAUAGUUUCUGACAAUCCAAUUCCUGAUGCUUUGGUUCUGAUGCCAACAUUAAGACGUAAGCGGUUGAAGUGACUGAAUGGAUGCUUUGGCACGAUUCUCAAAAUCAUUAAUUGUAGGCGGCCAAUGGUCGGCCUUCUGGCUUCCUCCGCACGUUCAAACGAUCUUUAUAAAUAGACCAAACCUCAUAACUUUGUCGGUAUUACUCCCUUAGUGCUUCCAAGAUUUCAUUUAGCCCCUUUCAAUUUCCUUGAACUCUCCCUUUUCUUUUCUAACGAUAAUUUCCAUUUUCUCGGAUCCUUCACUUUAAAAAUGGCAAAGACCUCUAAAACUAUUCCUCAAAAGUAAAAAUCUUCAUCAUCUUCUCGAAUGACUAAAUGUAAAUCGGUAGUUCCUCCUAGUAUCGAGGAGUGUACUCCUGGGCCCUAUGAUACAUCUUCUGAUUUCCGAGUGGAAAACCCUUCUUCUGUUCUGGGGAGAUGCGAGCCCAUGUCUCGAUAUAUUAGUAUAAUAACUGAAAUCAAGAAGGUUAAGGUCGACUGUCGUUGGGGGAAGAUGGUGCAAGUAGAGAUUCCUUCACGAGGGGAAGACAUAACCAAGCACAAGGCCGGUUUCCUCAGUAUAUACACAUAUCCUUUUACCUUAGGCCCGGUAGAAGCCUCUUUACCGUCGAUAGAUCUAGUGAUCCUUGACUUCUGCAGCCAAUAUUAGGUGAUGCUUGGGCAAGUUUAUUCAUCAUUUUGGCGCAUUGUUUAUAUGAUUAGGUAUCUCUCAAACAUGGUCGAGGGGAUGCCUUUUACCCUCGACCAUCUAAUUAGACUAUAUAGCCCUCGGCUUUACCGAGGUGGCUUGCUUAAGCUGAAACGUCGAUCCAUGAAGGCCUUUUUUCCUAGCAUCGAUGAAGACAAGGAUCGGGGAUGGAUGAGCCGCUUUUUCCAAGUUAUGACCUCGGACCUAAUCCCUUCUAAGAGAAUGUCGUUCCUCGAAAAAUGGAACAUAAAUCGUAAGUAAACAUGUUCCACUAAUCGGAUACCUUUUCUUGAUUUUGAACUAACUUUUUUUGAUGAUACAGCUGUCAAGUGGUACCCUGAUGCUGUCGAGGAACUUCUGGGAUGGAUAUGACAACUCGAUUUGGUCUUCCCAUAUGCUAAGUGCGUGUGGUGCGAUCUAGCUAAGGCCCAUUGGGAGGCCAAAAGUCAUGGUGAGUUUUAUCUCUGUUCAUACUUGAGCUCUAUAGAGAUGGUAUCUAUCGCUAGUAUUCUCUUCCUUUGUGCUUAUACAGGUCUUGGAGAGGCUAUUUUGAUGAGGGAACCCCCGCCUGGGGAAGCAGAUAUCCCAAAGCCCGACAAGGAGAAAAAAAGAAAUAAGAAAUCACCGGCCGGGUCCCCAAAGCCAAAAAAAGCUAAAGUUCGAAAGCCCGAGGCUGAUUCAGUGGCCUUAACUCGGGUAGUGGCCGGAGGUCUUUAUGAUGAGGGCGAAGAGAGUGAUGAUUGCCCGUUGGUACUCAGGGAAGAAGAAAUAAUGUUGCCUCGAAAUCUACUAAGCUGAAGGUGACUGAGUCGGAGGCACCGAGGUGGUCCCAUCCCGAGAUGAGGGGAUUUCGGGUGAAGUCCCCUAGCCGACCAAUGACAUAAGCGCAUUUGAUGCCGAGGGGCAUUUGGCUGGUGAACUCUAAGGAACCAAUGAUGAAGCCCCUAGGAGGGGGAUGAGCGCCCCCGUUGAAUCAGUCGAGGUGAUCAAUAUAGAUGAGCCUCUAUCGGGCCCGUCAUUCUCUCCUAGGCAGAUACAGGAUGCCCAAGAUAUGAAAAUUACCAUCGAGGGGGCAUCCCCAAGAGAGAACAGUACGUUUGAAGGAUUUUUUGCAGGGGUUGAGGAAGGCCUCGAUAUCGAUGCCUCGUUGAUCUAUGAAGAAGCCGAGAAGCUUCAACAAUAGGUAAUCUUGAUUUGAUCGUUGUAUCUUGAGUUUCGAUUCUUGCUUUUCUGACUCCCUUCUUUUGUGUUUUCAGGCCUUCAAGCUCUCCAACCAAGCCUUUUCCAAGUCACAAGCGGAGUUGGCUCGUUGUGAGGACAAAUUUAGGAAGCUCGUUUCUGAAUUGGGCAAACUUAAGGCCCUUCAUGCCCAAAAGGAGGGGGAGCUAGGUGACCUUCGAGCUCAUUUGGAGAGGAUAUCUCGAGAGUGGGCCGAUCUCGAUAAGCAGGUAAUACGACCCUUGUGGUCUUAUUUUUGUGCUUUAGUCAAUUGAGUGUUUGAUAUCUUAAUCUAGCUUUUUCAACUUAAGCAAAAAGAUGAUUUAAUGUGAGAGGAGCUUAGAGCCAGCGGUACCAAAAUCCUUGGGCUGAGCAGCGCAUGGAUGAGGUAUCUUCCGAUAGAGAAGCUCUUGGAGAGAAGCUGGCCUCAGUUGAAUGCCAACUCCAAGGGGUGACGGAAGAAAGCUGUAAAUACAAAGACCUCUAUGUUGAGCUAGUCGUUGAGCUAUCUACAACUAUGUCUGAUGUUGCUGAGCUUAUGUCCUCAUACAGAAAAGAUGUUGCUAAUGUAAAUGCUCGAGCCAGGAAAGUAUCCGAAGAGGUCGAGCUUAAACUGUCCCAAGCCUUAGAACAUGCCCGAUUAAGAUCUAGGAGAUAGGCUCUCGAGGAUAUAUAUGUAGGGGGAAUCGAUUUGUCUAUCGAGAUUGAGAGGGUGAAUGCCCUAAAAGAAGAAUCGGCAACUCCACUUUCUCCCGAGGAUGGUUCAACCAGUGGUUCGACCAGUGGCUCUGAUGAUGAUGAAGACAAAGGUGAAAUCCCCUAGGGGGAAGAGGCCGUUGAUGACCCGGGGGUCGAGGGCCAGGACGUUGAAGGCACAACUUCCAAGGGAGCUCCGUCUGGUCAAGUAACCCCAGCGGUAGAUUAGGUUUUCAUUUGUUCCCUUUUUAAGUAAGGUCUCCAGGCGUGAGCCUUGUAGAUAUGACUUUAUGAAACCUUGUCAUAUAUAUAUAUAUAUAUGGAUUUUUGCUUCUCGUCAGUUCUUGUUUUCCCUUUUGCCUUUUUGGAAUAAAUUUUGGCGUUUGUCGAUAACCGGUUCGAUGUAUCGAACUUAUUAUAUAAACCCUUUGGGUUUUCAUUCUCGAUGAGUGAUUGAUGAUAGUUAACCGUUCAGGGCUCAAUCCUCAAGUCAAGUUUUGACUCAGGCUCAUUGACCCUUAGGUUUUCGACAUACUAGCCCUUAAGCUCUUACGUAUUGGCCCUUAGACUCUUUUGGCUGGCCCUUUGGCUCUUACGCACUGGCCCUUAGGCUCUUUGGGCUGGCCAUUAGGCUCUUACGUAUUGGCCCUUGGGCGCUUUUUAGAUUGGGUCGAUGCGACCUCUGAUAUGGCUAUAGUUUUCCCCAUGUUAGCUGAAGUUUUUGAUUAUGCCUUGGCAUGUUUUGUGUUCGUCCGACUCUUCGACGGCUCAAAUAAGAACCUCAAUUAUGAAUCGAUAUGCGACGACAAUCAAGUACCUCAGGAGGUUCUCAUGAAGGCUGAUUUUUCGAAGCCUUUUGUUGAACGCUGAUUGCCUCGAAGCCUUUUGUUGAACGCUGAUUGUCUCAAAGCCUUGUCAUUGUUUGGAGCCGAUAUGAUUGAAGCUCCUUUGUUUAUGCCGGGGUAGCCUGAUUAACUGGUUCUUUUCGAAGUAUUUUUGAAGUAUUUGGAGGCCUUUAGUUCUAUAGCGGCAGUUGGACGUCUCCGAGCCGCAUUAAUUUGGUCAGAGCCUUUUAAUGCAACCGUAGUCGAUUAUCCUUAGGUGAGAUGACCUCGACGUCUAUAUCAAGGGUAUGCCUUUUUAGGGGUCUUACAAGUUUGAUAUAUAGCCUUGGCCUUAAUAUCGGGGUUGUGCCUUUUUAAGGCCUUACAAGUUUUGGCAUGCCUCGUUGAGGUCUUACAGAUUUGGGGUUGCCUCGCUGAGGGCGUACGAGCUCGAAGUUUCCUGAUCAAGGUCUUACGAAUUCGAUUUUUCGAUGGUUCAAUAAGCUUACUAUCGAUGACAGUCCCCGAGUGUUCGCCUUUGGCCCUCGAGCUGUCUUAUGAAAAAAUAGUGGAUUUAUUCGAGGCACAAAGUGUUUUGAUAAGCAGUGGGGGAUUCCUUAAUUACUUGAUAUAUGUGUACAUAUUUUUUGCUUUUGGGGACUCGAUUAUUCUAUAUGGACAUGGUUCAUUUGACCCUUUGGCCCAAUACAACAUUCUCCUAUCGAGGUCCUCCUGGGCAUAGUUUGAGUUCUUUGAAGAAGUGACCUCCUGGGGUGAUGGCCCCCAGUAUUUGAGGUUGAUCAGAGAGAAGCCUUGAACACUUUAUGAGUUCUCCUUAGGUAGCAUAUGGAUGUUGCCUCGUUAAAAACCUCGUCGGUAAAACCCGUUCGGGAUAAAAUCUAGUCUAAGGAAAAAAGAGUGCAACGCAUGCUUUAAAACCCAAGGUCUUCUAGGUCUUCGAGCUGGAGGGUGCUUUGAUUCCUCUCAAUCGGACACCUACAAUAGGUUAGUAUAAAACAUAAAUGAAAAGGGAGAAGGUUGUAACUUACCAUUGAUACCGCUAGAGCUUCGAUUCGUUUUUUAUUGCUUGCUCCGAUGAUGUGGCACGGUCCUUUAUUUACUUAUUCGGGUGGAGCCAAGAACAUAGGUUGUGGUCGCUAUUUGUCUGUUUGCUUGUCUUUUGGUCUCUUCGACAUAGAGGGCAUAGAUGUUGGCGUUGUGUCAUGCACCGCGAACAUCUCUCUUGCUGCAUGUUGUUCCGUGUACAUUGCUUUUACACCAUUCUUGGUUGGAAACUUCAUCAUUUGAUGAAGGGUUGAGGGUACUGCCCGCCCUCAUACUGUGUAUCCACGGCCUUCCAAGUAAGACAUUGUAUCUCAUGUCGCCUUCGAUGACGUGAAACUUGGUAUCUUGGAUUGUUCGGGCUACAUUGACCGGGAGGAUGAUUUCCCCUUUUGUUGUCUCGUUCGCCAUGUUAAAUCCAUUGAGGACUCGAGAGGCGAGUACGAUCUGGUCGAGCAGUCCAAGCUUCUCUACCAUUCUCGACCUGAAUAUGCUAGCUGAGCUACCUAGAUCCACGAGCACACGUUUAAUAUGAAUUUUAUUCAAAAGAAAAAAAAAUUACUAGUGCGUCAUUAUGAGGCUAAGACAAGGUCUCAUUGUCCUCUUUGUUGAACGUGAGGGCAUCCUUUGGUAUGUAACUCCGAGUUCGCCUUUCCCUGGUGAUGGAUAUCUUUGUCCGCUUGAAAAUGGGUUCUUGUGGGACGUCAACCCCUCCAACGAUCAUGUGGAUGACAUGCUAUGGUUCUUUUGGUUUGUUUUCCUGUUUGCAUCUCUUUCUCGGAAAUGGUUCUUAGCCCAGUCACUGAGAAACUCACGAAGAUGUCCUUCGUUGAACAAACGGGCUACCUCCUCUCUAAGCUUCCUGCAAUCCUCGGUCCUAUGACCGUGAGUGCCGUGAUACUUACAUAUCAAGUUUGGGUUCCUCUGUGAAGGGUCCGAUAAUACGGGUUUUGUCCACCUAGCAUCUUUGAUUUUCCUUAUGGCUAAAACGAUGCCAGAGACAUCAACGUUGAAGUUUUACUCAGAUAGUCGGGGUGCCUCUACCGGCCCGGUGUACCAAUCGAACCCGACUUUACCCAUGAGCCCUCGGGAAUUUUGACCUUGAUCUACCCUUCGAUCGCCUCGAGGCAUGUUAUGCCUUGGUGCGUUUCUUCGAUCAUGUACCUAUGGCUGGUAUCUUUUUUUGUUUGAUCUUGGCUCCCUUUCUGUAAACCUUUGCUCCUUUGCAAAGAUCCUGUUGUGAUAUACUGAUCCCGGGGGGGGCUCCUAGUUAGUCGUCUUCGACCCUGAUCUUUGAUUGGUACCUGUUGUGCACAUCCGCCCAGGUCAUGGCGGGAUAUUCGAUUUUAAUUGCUUUGAAGAUACCGAGCUUUGUUCGUUCAAGCCUUGAGUGAAGGCCUAUACUGCCUAGUCAUUAGAGAUUGGUGGUAAUUCCAUUCGCUCAAUCUGAAAGCGAGAUAUGAAUUCCCUUAGCAUCUCGUUCUCUCUCUGUUUGAUUUUGAAGACAUCGGACUUCCUGGUGGCAACCUUAAUGGCACCAGCAUGUGCCCUCACAAAAGAAUCCGCCAACAUGGCAAAUGAGUCUAUUGAAUUUGGGGGCAGGUUAUGAUACCACAUCAUAGCCCCCUUCGACAGUGUUUCUCCAAAUUUCUUCAACAAGACGGACUCAAUUUCGCCGUCCUUCAAGUCGUUCCCUUUUACGGCACAAGUAUAAGCGGUAAUAUGCUUAUUAGGGUACGUGGUCCCAUUAUACUUCAGGACAUUGGGCAUUCUGAACUUUUUCGAGAUGGGCUUCAGAGAUGCACUUGAUGGGAAUGGCCUCUGCACGAACUUCUUUGAAUCUAUACCCUUUAUAAUGGGGGUGCCUCGGGGAUCUGAUCGACCCUCGAGUUAUAUGUCUCCACCCUUUUGUCAUUAUCUUCUAUCUUCUUUUCUCAUUAUUCAAUUCUUUUGGUGAGGUCCUCGAGCAUCUUCAUAAUAGUAGGGUCUCUUGCUGACCCGUUGUUGCUUGAUCUCUCCAGUACUUGCUCGACUCGAUGAGCCGUCUCCGGUGCUACUGUGCUUGGGGUUUUUUGUUGACUUUGCAGCUGAUCAAUAGCCACUUGUUGUGCUUGCAACAUUUAAAAAUGACUUGGAGUCUGACUCCUCCUUUUCCACUCCUCGUACUUCUUGGCCUCUAGCCUGGUCUUCCCUGCGUCCGUUCCUUAUGGGGUCUGUGCCUACUUUCGUGUUUAGAACGUUGUGGGAACUGAUAUCAGCUUGCUCAAUGUUUGGUACUCCUUCGGGGUUUACAAGUGGUACACCCAGCCCUAUGUCUCUAUUUUCCCCAAGUUCUUCACUGUUGUGAAGAGGUGCAUUUUGUGUGCUAGACAUGAUUAAGCCUGAAAUCAAAGAAUCUUUGUCAAGAAAAAGCGUAAAGAGUAACGUGUGUUAUUAGAAAACAAGCAUCAAAACAAUCACUAUUAUUUUUAGCCCCACGGUGGGCGCCAAAUUGUUUACCUUAAAAAUGUAACUACAAUUAUAUUUGAUUUGUGGUUCUAAAAAUAGAUUUAUUUUUAUACUAGUUUUUAGGCAGUAGAUGCUAAGCGUAAGUAAAGGAAAUAAGAAAUGCAAACCAAAAGGUUUAUAAUGUUGGGCCUUUAGCUGGCUGGAGCGGGGCCUCGAGGUCUAGACGGGCUAAUAGCGAUGAGCGAUCGAUGGAGGAUCAACGAUAAUGAUGGCCUCAAAGACGGCCUUUUGCGGUUAAUAAUGAUCAAUAAAUGAAGAACAAUAAAUGAACAAUGAAAGAAUAUGCAAUAAAUAUGAAGAAUCAAUUGUUUAAGCAAAGAGCAAAGAAUGUUGUAUUGUAUUCAAUAUGUCGUGUAAUGAUCUGAAUCCCCUUACAAGAUGACAAGGGUUCCCUUUAUAUAUGAGGAGGAAUCCCAACAUAGUACAUGUAUAAUAAUGACGAGGAAAUGCUACUGGUACAGUUGUAUAAUGACUUAGUACGGAUUUGUACUAUUCUUGCAGACCUGGUCAGCUCUAACCACGUGUCUUUGGGAGUUUUCCCGCCUUUUCAUGACGGUCAUUGAUUUGUGCUGCUCCGAAAUUGACCUCCGAUGUGCUACCUCGAGGGAAGCACCUCGGGGGCAUACUCCAAAUUCUCCUUCGAGCUCCUCGAGGACGGGCAUGAAAUGCUACGAUAACCCCGAAGUCGAACUCUUUCGAUUUUGGCCGUAUACAGUGAUAUAAUUUAAAUAAGUGUCAUUUAUAGAUAAUUAACUCAAAUAAUUAGAAACAUAUAGUAAUUAUAAUUUUAUUACAUUUUUAAAAUUGCUAAGUUUAUUUAAAUUGAUUUUGAAAGGGGGUUUAAAACUAAAAGGCUACAAUUGCAAUAACUAAGUAUAAAAUAGCUAUUUAUUAAAUUACUUUAGCCCAAAUGUACAGCCCAAUCCAGAAAACAACCCGGUCCAAACACCCCAUCCCUUCCAACUUGGCAAUCCUUGCUAUUACCUCUCAACCAAUCACGACCUAACACGUCACCCGUUGAUCCCACUCAAAAAACAAACACAAGCGAUCAGAACCGUUGAUUCAAAUCAUCAAUGGUCAUGAAUUAUCCCUAUUUUCCAUUUAAUCUCGACCCACUAUCAAAAAUUAUCUCAGCUGUUGGAUCACAUAGAUCCAAUGGUCCUCAUACUUUCCUAAAAUUAUUUUUCUUAAAUAAAUAAUGCCCCGAUUUAUCAAGGUCUUUGAUCAAAUGAUCCAAUAGCCCAGAUCUCUUCUCCUCGUUUUAACUCAGUGACCAACUAGUCUCACUCCCCAAACCCUAAUCCAUUUGCAGAUUUGGGAUACCUGAGUCCAUCAUCACUAACAAUGCCGCUAAUAUUAAUAGAGACCUCAUAAGGGAAAUAUGUGAUAAGUUCAGAAUUGUCCUCCGCAAUUUCACAGCUUACAGACCACAAAUGAAUAGGGUAGUCGAGGCAGUUAACAAGAAUAUCAAGAGUAUUCUGCGAAAGAUAGUGGACAAUCACAAACAAUGGCAAAAGAAGUUGACCUUCGCUUUGUUGGGUUAUCGGACUACUAUGAGAACAUCUAGUGAGGCAACGCCGUACAUGUUAGUAUAUGGCACCAAAGCAGUGAUACUCGCAGAAGUCGAAAUACCGUCCUUAAGAGUCAUUAAAAAAGCAAAAUUGGACGACGUAGAGUGGAUACGGGUUAGGCAAGAACAACUCAUGUUCAUUGACGAGAAAAAAAUGGAUGUAGUAUGCCAUGGACAGCUAUACCAGAAUAGGAUGGACAAUGCAUUUAACAAAAGAGUGAAGCCUCGCCAAUUCACACGGGGCAGUUGGUUUUCGAAGAAACUCUUUCCCUAUCAAGAAGAAGCUAAAGGGAAGUUUGCACCGAACUGGAAAGGUCCUUACGUGGUCCACAGAGCACUAUCCGUUGGAGCUCUAAUCUUGGCAGAAAUGGAUGGAAGAUUCAGCACGAAGCCGAUCAACUCAAAAGCAAUCAAAAGAUAUUAUGCUUGAAGAUAGAUAGAGUUAGGAUUUUGGUGUAACAGAGUCCAGGGGUAGCAACAAGCGCCUUGGGUGCCUGUCCCCCUACUAGAGCUACUUGUGGCUCCUCAAUCGCUACUCGGUUAGGUACGCUAGCUGUAGCACGUGCUCCUCCUCGGCCUCUACCUCGCCCCGGCCUCUCGCAGCUCUAGAAGGGGGCAGCAGGUGUCUGCUCAGCUGAUCCAGCGAUGCGCAUCCUCACCAUUUGUGAGAGAAUAGAAAGACAAAGGCUCAGAUUUCGAAAUCAACAAAUCCGCACGAUAAGGAAUCAAAGAAGUGGAAUUUCUUAAUAGCUUUAUAGUCGUGAAGGCACCUAGACUCUAAGGCUAAGUAAGCCUAACACACAUUGAGAAUUUAGCAGAAGUAACGACUAAGAUAGUAAAUUAAGCUGAUAACUAUCAUAAUAAAACCAAAAUGGAACAAAAGUCAUCCCCAAAAUCGGUGGUACGAAGUCAUAAGUUCUAAUAAAGUACACUAGGAAUCUCUACAUACAAUAUGUUUUGAUAUGAAGAUAAACAGUAGUAAAGACAAUAUCAGAAGGUGACUCUAUGGCCUGUGAGCAUCAAGCAGGUAUACCUUGAAGUCUCUAAAAUGAAUAAGUCAACUCACUGGCGUCCGGCACUAGCAGAAGUACCUGGAUCUGCACAAAAAUGUGCAGACGCAUAGCAUGAGUACACCACAAUGGUACCUAGUAAGUAUCAAGCCUAACCUUGGUGGAGUAGUGAUGAGAUCAGGUCAAGAUACCUACUAGACAUAGAAACCUAAACAACAUAUUAAUAUAAUCUAAUAAUAGGAAGUAAAAGCAAUAAAUAACAAUAAAGUAGAUUAUCAAUAUAAGGUUAAUAACGGGUGUAAAAGAGAUAACAACAUCAAAGAGUGAACAUAUGGUAAAAACAACAAAUGAUCAAAUAUGGUCAAAAUACAAGUGAAAUGAUUUAAGGAAAAACAAUAAUCAUUCAAAUCAACAUGUCGUUCCAACAUAAAAUGUACAACAAGAAUCACAUCGAGGUACCACACCUUAUAUGCACAUUCACAAGUCAUAAUCACAAUCUUCCUUAUAUCACCGCGUGAGCCUUGCAUUUAUUUUAAAAAUAUUUUUUUCAAAAUAGCUUCACGGGCUUUAGCCCCCUUAUCUCACUGUGUGGCUAUAAGUAAUUUCCCUUACUAGCAGCACGCGCAUAAAUCCCACCUUAUCUCGCUGCAUGAGCACCAAUAUCACCACUUUUAUACUGUCGCAUGCACAUCACAUCACAACACAAUAACCAACUCGCACCACGCGUGCUCAUAUGCCAUAAUAUUUCCAAGACAACAAUAUCAAUAUCACCAUAACACAUAGCACACGGCUCAACCACAAUGUGUACAAGAAUCUCAAUAAUAACAAAAUGAACGGAAAAUAACUCAACAAUGGAAGACACUCCAUAAAAUAACAAUUCAAUUAAAACAUGUUACUAGCUCUCAAUAACUACAACUUCGAUAAACUCCAAUGGAAGAUAUCUCCAUGAAAUGGCAACUUCAAUUCUAAUGCAUAAUAUAAACCCAACAAUAAAAGAGAUAGCAUGUAAUAGAACCUAUGACUAAAUGCAUAUAAGAGUAACUUCAUUAAUGAAAAUAGAACAUGUAAUAACAACUUCAAUUAAGCCAUAUAAGAAUGAACUCAACAAUGAUAGAUGUAACAAGUAAUAACAACUUAAUUAAAUGCAUAAACGUAACCUAAGAGUAUAAAUCGAUCAAUUUCAUAUAUAAGGUUAUGUACACACUCCGCACCUCCAGUACACGUCUUUCACGUAAUUCAAAUAGUGCAAUUUAACCAAAUCCUAUGGGGUAGCUACCCCACACAAAGUUAAGCAAGAUAUUUACCUCAACUAGGCCAAAUCAACAAUCAAAAAUGGCUUUUCCCUUAAAAUUCUCCUCCGCACGGCUCAAAUCUAACCAAAAACGACUAAAUACAAUCAAAAAAUUCAAGAGAAACCAAUUUCGAUUAAUAAAGCUAAGAUCUUUACACAAUUCCUAAAAGUCAACAAAGAUCAACCCCAUGUCCGCCUGGUCAAAACUCGAGUCCACGGGUAGAUCUCAACUACCCAUAAUCCCCACGAGUCCAUAUAUGUGUUUUGUUUUCAAAUUCGAGUCCAAUUCAACUCUCAAAUCUCAAAUUUUUAUUUUUCAAAACAUAGAAAAAAUUCCCCAAAAUUUCUCUUCAAAUCUCGUAGAUUAAAGGUUAAAAAUCAUAAAUAAUCAUGUAAUAUAAUUGAAAAUUGAUUAAAAACACUUACCCAAGAGACAAAGUCAUGUUUUUCCAGCCCUUAGGUCGAGAUUCCGGAGCCGCAAUUGUGACCCUGGGUUCACAAUUGCAAACCCUCGCAAAUGCGAACAAUGACUCACAAAUGUGGCGCCUGAUAGCCCAGGGAAAUGUCGCAUUUGUGAAAUUUGUCCCUUCCCAAAUGCGACCUACCCAGCCUAAGCCCAAACUUUGCAAUUAUGAGUAAGGCAUCACAAAUGCGAUACUUGAUCCCUCCCUGAAUACUUUGCAAUUGCGAUGCUAGUGCUCGCAAAUACGAUAACUGGAGCACCAGCAUACCAGCAACCUAAAAAUGAGUUCAAACCAAUCUGAAAUAUGUUCGAAACUCACUUGAUCCCUCAGGGCUCCAUACCAAAUAUCCAUAAAAGUCUAAAGACAUCAUACGAACUCAUUCGCAUGUUUAAAACACCAAAAUAAUAUCUGGAACCAUGAAUCGGACAUCAAAAUGUAUGAAAUUCAAAAGGAAACUCAAGAAUCACUAGAAUCACAACCAAGCGUCUGAAUCCCAUCAGUCCACCUCGGAAUGACAUCAAAUUUUGCAGACAAGUUUCAAAUACAAAAAUGAACCUAUUCCAAAUCCUAAAACCAAAAUACGAAUCUGAUAGCCAUAAAUUCAACCUAUGGUUAAACCUAAGGAAUUUUUAAACCUCAAAUUGCCAACUCUCGGCAAAACAAGUCAAAUCAACCUAGGAACCUCUGAAUUCAAUUUCGGGCAUACGCCCAAGUCCAAAAUCAUGAUACAAACCUAUCAGAGCCAUCAAAAUACCAUUUUGGGGUCGUUUUCAUAAAAGUCAAACCUAGGUCAACAUUUCCAACUUAAACUUCUAAACCAAGAACCAAAGGGUCCAAAUCAUUCCAAAACUUUCCCAAAACGAAACCAACCAUCCCCACAAGCCAUAAAACAAUAAAUCACAUAUGGGGAGCUUCGUAAGAGGAAAUGGGGCUCAAAUACACAAAAUGAUCGGUCGGGUCGUUACAUUGACCGAGUCUCUUGCUUUGGAAUUGUGAAAUAUUUGAUGAACCAUAGUUCUGUGUCUUCUCGACUCGCAGGUAUUUCGCGAGUGAGAGAAUUUCUAUAUUCUUAUGAUUAGCGGGUUGUUUCCCUCGAUAGGAUUACAAACUAUUCCUAUGGGAUUGGGUCGUUUGCCUCGGUAAAUUGCUCUUAUGGGAUCGGGUCGUUCGCCUCGGCAGUAUGUUGAGUUACUCUUAUGGGAUUGGGUUAUUCGCUUUGGCAGUAUUAUGUAAUACUAUUCUUAUGGGAUCAGGAUGUUCGCCUCGGCAGAAUCAUACGUAGUACUUGAGAUUUAAUUUGGUAGUGGUAUCAAUUGAUCUUGUGCCUUCGAGGCAGGUUAUGGCAUUUUAGUAAUUUCAUAAUAAUUCAUAUUUGGGAAUUUAUUAUUAAUGUUUAUCUGUAUCGUUGCUGCUUAUUAUGUUUCAUACUUUCCUACUUUAUGUACUUUAUUAUCUAACUACUAGUACGUGUCGAAGUCGACCCCCCGUCACUACUUCUUCGAGGUUAGACCAGAUACUUACUAGGUACGCAUUAAUUUACGUACUCAUAUUACACUUGUGCACUAAUUGUAUAGGUAUUGAGACAGGUACUUCAGGUGGUCAUAGAGGCGCGUAGAUGCACUUUACGAAGACUUAGUGGUGAGCUGCCCUACAUGCUUCGAUCUACGGCACCUAAAUUCUCCCUCUUAUCAUAUUUAUUGUUUCUGUCUAUUUUAUAUCAGACGGUAGUUGUAGUAGUUUUGUAUGUUCUAUUAGAUUACUCAUGUACUUGUGACACUAGAUUUUUGGGGUUUCUAGUAGAUAUUCACAGUUAUACCUAAUAUUAUUAACAUUUCAUUUUAUGUAUUAUUCAUACUCGGUAUUUUGGUAAAGAAGAACGUAUGUUUCCAUGAGUACUAGAUUUAAUUCUAUUUAGCUAAUGAAAUUUCUAAUUUAAAAAGUUAAAAAAGAUAAUUAGGUUGGAGGUACAUGCGUUGGCUUGCCUGACAUAUCAUUGAGCGUCAUCACAGCCUAUUAUGGGGUUUGGGUCAUGAAAUUAUAACAACAACAACAAGCCUAGUAAUUUUCCACAAAUGGAGUCUGGGGAGAGUAAGAUGUGUGCAGCCUUACCCCUACCCUGGAAGGGCAGAGAGGUUGUUUCCGAUAGACUCGGCUGGAGAACGCAUGAAAGAAGAGAAGAGAAAAAGGUGGAAACAAGUAGGAAUAACAACAAGAUUAAAAAAUAUCGAAGUCAAGAAAGAAGUUAAACUCUAGUUAGUACAAGCCAAAUAGAAGGAUAUCAUACUAACACUAAUGCUAGCGAACUGAGUAAAACAAAGAGAAAUGCUCGACUACCUACUAGUCUUGGCUCCAUCACGCGUGUCCUUAAUCACUCUAAUAUAGGCUAGUGGGACCCUAUAGCCUCCAAACAUCUCCAAAGAACCUCUCUCGGGACUUUGUCAUAAGCUUUUUCUAGGUUAAUGAACACCAUAUGGAAAUCCUUUUUCAUCUCCCUAUACCACUCCACCAAUCUCCUCACAAGGUGAAUGGCUUCCAUAGUCGAACUCCCCGACAUAAAAUUGAACUGGUUCUCAGAAAUGGACAUACUGCUCCUCACCCUGGCUUCAACCACCCUCUCCAAAACUUUCAUCGUAUGACUCAGCAGAUUGAUCCCCAUAUAAUUAUUGAAACUUUGGAUAUCACCCUUGUUCUUAUACAGGGGAAUCAUCGUACUCUGCCUCCAUUCUUCGGGCAUCUUCUUUGUCUUAAAAAUAACGUUGAACGGCCUAGUGAGCCACUCCAAACCUGCCCUACCCGUAUUCUUUCAAAAUUCCAUAGGUAUUUUGUCUGGCCCGGUUGCUCUACCCAUGUGCAUCUUGCGCAUAACCACCCCCUCCUCAUCUACUCUUAUGUGCCUACAAUACUCGAAAUAUUGGCGAAUCUCGAAGUGCUCCAAAUCUCCUAUCACAAUGUUUCUAUCACCCUCUCCAUUCAGGAGUUUAUGGAAGUAUGUCUGCCACCUUCGCCUAAUCUGAGCCUCUUACAUCAAAACUCUACCUUCCUCAUCUUUGAUGCACUUUACUUGAUCCAGAUAACGGGCCUUCCUCUCCCUCACCUUGGGUAUCUUUUUGUCCCCGCCUUUGGCCCCAAGCUCUUCAUACAAAUGCCCAUACGCUGCAGUCUUUGCCGCAAUAACCGCUAACUUUGCCUCCUUCUUAGCCCUUCUAUACCCCUCCUUGUUCAUCCUCUUCGCCUUCUCGUCCAUGCUCUCUAUAAGCUUCAAGUAUGUCGCUUUCUUGGCCUCCACUUUCUCUUGUACCCCUUCACUCCACCACCAGAUACCUUUGUGGCCACUAGAGAAACCCUUCAAGACCCUUUCUCUCGUAACUACUCUAAUACACUCUGUUGUCGUGGUCCACAUACAGCUCGCAUCCUCACUGCUCUUCCAGGCUCCCAUAGCCAGAAACUCCCCCCCCCCCCCCUCCCUCCACAAACUCCAAGGCUUUGUCAUUAGUCAAGGCACCCAACAUGAUCCUAGGCUGACCAUACCCAGACCACUUCUUCUUCUUUCUCACGAUCUCCAAGUCCAUCACCAAUAACCUAUGUUGAGUCGUGAGGUUCUUGCUCAGUAUAACCUUGCAAUCCAUGCAAUGACCCCUAUCACCCUUCCGGAGGAGUAGAUAAUCAAUUUAAGUCUUGGCCAAUGAAUUCUUGAAGAUGACCAAGUGCUCUUCCCUCUUCGGAAAGCACGAUUUAACAAUCACCAAAUCAAAGGCUUUAGCACAGUCCAACAGCGAAGUACCACCUCCGUUCCUAACUCCAAAACCAAAGCCCAUGCACAUCGUCAUAACCCCUAGAGGUCGCCCCACUGUGACCAUUGAAAUCUCCUCCUAUGAAUAAUUUCUCAGCGUGCAGAAUGCCACGGAUCAACCAGUGAAGGUCUUCCCAGAAACGCCUCUUAAUCUCUUAGUCAAAACCCCCUUAAGGCACAUAAGCACUAAUCACGUUUAAAGUAGAUCUUCCCACAACCAGCGUAAUAGCCAUCAACCUGUCAUUCACCCUCUUAACUUCUACCACUAGCUCCCUAAGAUCCAUGUCAACCAAGAUGUCUACCCCAUUCUUAUCCCUCACGCGGCCUGAGUACCACAAUUUAUAUCCAUCAGCCUCUGGAGCCUUAGAACCCAUAUGAUUUAGGUGGAAACGAGACUUUAUUUAUUCUUCGGUCAUUUUGGAGGAUUAAAAAUUUUAACAAAAACUGCACAUACUUCUAUUUUCUUUUUCUUUUGGCUUAAUAGACUUUUAGGUUACGUUGUAAGUCAAUCAUAAGUAGUUUGAAUUGUGACGAGCACAACAAUUUUUUUAAAAGGUCUUUGACUUUCAAAUUAGGAGAUGACUCCAAUGGAUAAACAAUGUCAUAAAGUCAUUACUACGAUCCCAUAAUUGAUAAAUGAUUGAAUUUCAUGCUAAUGUCCAGAUCAUAUUCAUAUUCCUUGCUUAUAUCUGAAAAUUAAACCUCUACAACUCUCAUUAUUAGAUUACAUGUUGAAGCUGAAUAAGCAACCAAUUUUAAUGAACAAAAUAGAAAUACAUUAAAAGGCAUUGUUUAUUAGAGGACAAGCAAUAUGUUAUAGACAUCAACAAAAGGAAACUGUCUGCAGCCAUGAAUUGGUAUAAUUCACUUGUCUUCUAAGUCUUUUUAGCAUCACCUCCCCACGUCUACGUAACAAUUAUCAACCAAAACUUUUUUUCAUUCAAUUCUUCUCAUAAUGUUAAUAGGAAAGAAGGGAAAGUUAAGUCAUUGAGAUUCAAACUUGUGGCAUUAUGAUUCGAAUUGUGAAAAGUUACUGAGAUUCAAAGUUGUGAUACUAUAGUUCGAAUUGUGCCAUCUUAACCGUUAAACAAUUCCCUUGAUGGCAAAUGUAAUUAGUACUAUAUAUAUAUAUAAAAGAACAAAUUUUGAAUUUUUUUUCUUUUAAUGAUUUUACAUGUAUUUAAUAUAGAAUUCGUUUACGAUUUGAGGUUGUGUGAUUGGAAAGGAAAAAUUGGAAUGAGGACGUCACUACAAGACUUUAACUUGACACAAGAAGACUUGUUGUAGUCCAAUCUUGCAAGCCACAAGACCAGCUCAUUUGCCUGUUUUCCACAUUAUUAUACGACAAUUCAGAUGCUAAUUACUACUUAUCAUGUCUAAGUUCUGCACUAACAAUCACAGAAAUAACCAAAAAAAGUAUCAAGUUAAUUAUUUAAUGACAAACUGGGUAAAUACAUACAUUAAUGAUAAAUCUCUCCUUGACUUUGAAUCAUUAGACGUGUUUUGAUCGGCAUGGCCUAAAUAUACACUUGUUAUUGCCAAAUUCUUGGAAGUAUAAGUUACUUAAUUUAACUCUGCACCGCUAAUAAAUGAAGGUGGAAAAUCUUCAACUUUUAUAAGUGGAAUAUAUAAACCUAUCACGUAACUUUUCGUGGAGUAUAUAGUGUUUAAAAUAUUUAUUUUUGGAAAAUAAUCACUAGGUUCAAGUCGCAAAAGUCAAAACAGCCUCUCAAAAAAAUACAAAAUAAAAACUUAUAUAGUAGAUGCGUAGCAAAAGUUUAGUGCACAGAAAUAUUUUUUUUUAAACGUAAUAAGUACUUUAAAACAAGUAGAAUACAUUAAGUCAUAUAUAUAUAUAUAUAUAAUAUAUAUAUAUAUAUAUAUAUAUAUAUAUAUAUAUAUAUAUAAAAGCAAAGGAAGAAUGAUCUAUUAGAUCAUCAAAUGAAAUCCUAAAUAAUUUAAAUUUUAUGUGACUGUAGCUUGUUCCCCAAGAAAUGACACUUCCCACAUCAUGGGCUCAAGCUAGUUUAGAAUAGUCAUAAAUAACUUACUACUUAUAAAGUUUGCUUUUACAAGAAGAAACUUCUGACAAGGAAAAAUCAGGUAAAAAAUGUGUGAGAAUUCGUUAGAUAAAGGAGAAACAACUUUAUCCAAAAUUAGGGGGGAAAGUGGCUUUCAUAUUUUACUUUAGAGCUGCUAUUUUUGCCUAGUCCAGUCUUAUAUUAUUUGUAACCAUGACUCUGAUUAUAGUAACCCUCACCUUAUAUAUUGAUUUUUAUCAGAUUAUAAAUUAAUACUUAUCAAGAGAUUCACCUAUAAUAAUUGACUUAAUUGUAUAAAUACUUUAAUUAUCAAGUGGUUAUUUUUUUGGUCGGCUCAUCGAAAUUAGUGAAGUCAAGAAUUCACUAAGCACGUAGGAGUAUAAGAUUUUACUACGCAUGUAUAUAUAGAGUAUUUGACCAAUAUAUUAGUCUAAUGUUAGUAUUUUAUUUUGCUUAGGCCGUUAAUCCAAACUAGUAAGAAUACAUGUUGCUGUUGGCAAACUUAAAAGCAGAGCAGCGAAACAAACAAACAAAGCAGAAACUUAAAAACUAACUUCCUUGAAAAAAUAGCGGAAAGAGACGCAACUUAACGUUUGUCUUUCCUCCUCAUUUCCACAACUUAAACGUGUACUCUAAGCUCAUUUUCCUCUCUCUAUAUAUAUAUAUACUAUUUUUAUCAACACAACAUUCUCUCCUUCAAACCUUAAUCAACUCCUUCAUGUCAUAAAAGCCUAAGUGCUACUUUCUUGAGUUUUUUCCCUAAUCAAUCUUCCAUUGUAUAGCUAUCUUUCUUGGUCCAAAAAAAGAGAAAAAUGGAUCGUAGAUCAUCGAUAGAGAGCGAAGGAAGUGUUCAUCUAGAGAUAAAUGAACUUAAUGGAAGACUAAGUGUGGUAGAAAGUGGAGGUCCAACAAUCUUUGAACCUCAAAGUCCAAUGGAAACAAAGAACAGCAGCACAGCUAAUUCUGUUUCUCCGAAAAGGCCAACGAUUCGUGCACCGGAGAAAAAGAUUACCCUUUUUGCUCUGAGGCUAGCAGUGCUUGAAAAAGCAGCAACUGGAUUAGGAACACUUGGUUUCAUAUGGGCAACAGUUGUUCUUCUUGGUGGCUUUGCUAUCACUUUGAACACUUCAGAUUUUUGGGUCAUAACUACUAUACUUUUAAUAGAAGGAACAAGAAUCUUUAGUAGGAGUCAUGAGCUUGAGUGGCAACACCAAGCAACAUGGUCUAUUGCUGAUGUUGGAAUCAGUAGCUUUCGCGCGAUCAAAUCCAGCACUAGAACCAUUGUCAAUGCUCUAAAAACAAUUUUCAAGCCUAUUUCUGAUGUUGCAAAGGGAAGUAGGCAUGUUAACAAUAGAGAAAUUGCAAGGAAUUCAAAGUGGAAUAAGCAGAAGCAGCCAACUCGAACGUGGACUAGUUCUGAGGUUCCUCUGCUUCCAUACGCGAGAUGGAUGUUCGUAGCAAGAAAUGUUAGCAAAAUGCUGUAUUGGCUCCAAAUACUAUCUGCAACAGCAUGUUUGGUGCUAUCAUUGAUGAAGCUUGUAUUGAGGAACUUUGGUGAAGUGGCCAAAGGAGAUACCGAUAAGAGGAAUAGGAAAAGUGCUCUACUUAUAUUCUAUUCCCUCGCCUUCACGGAGGCAUUGCUUUUUCUAUUGGAAAAAGCCUAUUGGGAAUGGAAGAUCAGCUUUUGUAGUCUGUUGGAGAAGGUGAACAAAGAGUGUGAAUUGGGACCAUCAGGUAUGACUUCAGUCAGACGGUUUUUUUAUGAUGCUUAUUCGAAAAGUGUUAAUGGGAGCAUAUUUGAUGGUCUAAAGAUGGAUAUGGUUUCAUUUGCUAUUGAACUCUUAGCCUCUAACUCACCUGAUGAGCAACUCAUUGGUGCUAAAAUCUUGCGAAAAUUUGCUGCGAGUCCACGGUUUUGUGAUGACACACUUCAGAAGAUUGGAACAAACAUAGUAGUAAUGGAGAGGUUGGUUGAGAUGCUGAAUUGGAAAGACAUACAAGAAGAAGAGUUAAGGCUAUCAGCAGCAGAGAUUAUAUCAAAGCUUACUGGUAAAAAGCAAAAUUCUCUUCGUGUCGCGGGUAUACCUGGUGCUAUGGAGUCCAUAUCUUCACUUCUUCAAAUCAGCAGGGGUCCUACUGGAGCAAAUGAUGAAAUCUGUGAAAAGAGGAUUAUCUUUGACAAUGAAAAUUAUGGAUUUUGGACAUUCAAUCAUUUGGGGCUGCUCAUUUUAAAGAAACUUGCUCGUGACCACGAUAACUGUGGAAAGAUAGGCAAUACUAGAGGUCUUCUGCCCAAAAUUAUAGAGUUCACACAAGCAGGAGAGAGAUUACUAAGAGAUGAAUCAGCAACGCCAACGCAGAUAUUGACACUUAAACGAUCUCUCCAGGUCGUGAAGAUGCUGGCAAGCACAGCAGGCGCCACAGGUAAAGAGCUAAGGAAAGAAAUUUCAGAGAUAGUUUUCACUAUUAGCAACAUCAGGGACUUACUAAGAUAUGGGGAGAAAUACCCUACUCUACAACACUUGGGAAUAGAGAUCUUGAAAAGUCUUGCAUUGGAAGAUGAUGCAACAGAGAGAAUUGGAGGAACUGGAGGAAUCCUUAAGGAGUUGUGCAACAUUUUUUUCAAGGACUCCACACCUAACAACCGCGGUCAAGUAAGAACAGCAGCAGGAGAAGCACUAGCUAUGUUGGCACUUGAAAGCAAGAACAACUGCCAUACGAUAUUGAAACUCAAGGUCACUGGAAAGCUCGUCGAAGCAUUGGAAGUUCCAUUGCUUCGAGUAAAUGCAGCAAGAAUCUUGAGAAACUUAUGUGUCUACAGUGGAUCAGGUUACUUUGAAGAAUUGAGAGAACUUGCUGUUGCAGGACCAACUGUAAGUACUAUACGAAAACUUAUUCUUUUUAGUUCCUAGUAUACUGCAGGUUAAAUUGAAUUCUGUCUUUUCAGGUACUCAAAGCAAUAAUGACAGAGGAAAACAAGUUACAGGAAGUAAUGAUGGGAGUAGGUGCACAUAUAUUCAAGUUUAUAACACCAGAAGAGUCAAGCAUCAUGUUCCAGAGAGCGAAAAUUCAAGAAGCUGAAUUGGCUGCAAAACUUGUUGAGAUUCUUAGGAAACAUCAACAUCCAUCAAUUAAGGUUCCAAGAAUUAGGAGGUUUGUCAUAGAAUUGUCGAUCUGGAUGAUGAGAGAUAAAAGAACAAACGUUCAAGCGUUCAGAAAUCUGGGAUUGGAAAGGGAACUGGAGUACAUUAUAGAAACCACAUCAGAGCUAGAGAGCUUUAAUGUUUUCUCAGGAACAGUUGGAAUGAAUCGACACACUGUGACUAUUCAUGCGCUGGUUGAUACUGCAAUGAAGUUGUUGGCUGGGGAAAAAGAAUGAUAGAAACCUCAACAGUUAUUGCACCAAAAAAUUGUUUCAGGUUCAUACUUUAGCCAUUCAAAGGCAAUAAUGGUGUAAAUAUUGAAGUAUAUAGUAGAGCAUUCUUUUUCUCUAAUUUAAUAUUAUUAUGUAGAGGGCUAUUACAGAAACAUAUCAUAAGUUACAGUAAUAUAUUGUAAUUCGCAACAAGUUCCACUGCUGUCUAUUUUAAUACUGCUUUUAUUUGACAGAGCAAAAUAUAAAGCUGGCAAAGAUCCAGCCAAAAUUUGCUAAACAAGGCACAGACUAAACAAGGUUCUGAGAUCAAGCAGAAAGCAAACUAGUAUUGCCACUACAGUUUGCAGACUCUAAUCCAAAAUGAUAUUUGUAUCACACAAGCCAAAUUAUAAAUUAAAAACCAGCACUAAAACCCAAACCAGGCUAUCCAAUGAAAGGAAAUAUAUGACCAAGCAAAAGGCAAACGACAAAUAGCCGCUCACCCAACCGUUUAAACUAACAUUAGUUGUCGGAUGUAUAAUAUAUAUCAUGUGCGAUGUGUAUAACCGUGUACGAUCAGUGUAUAAUCUAUGUAUAUCCUCUAGGAAAAGUAAAGAGUAAAUCCGGCAAGCUAUAAAAGAGUACUUCAAAUAAAUAGCAUUGACACUGACAGAAUUUCAGCGUUUUAAAAAGUAAAAGCAUGUUUCCAUGUUGAAAGAAUGAGAUGUGUUCUAUUUGUAUACAAUACACAAACACUAUAAAACUGAAUAAAAUAGAGAAAUUUGAGAGUGCUAACAAUUGCAAGAUUGUCAUGAAAAAAUUGUCAUCACCUGUACAUCUACAUAACACAUUUUGGUAAUCCAUAAUUUACAACAAACAAUGGGCCUAUGAGCCUAAUCUCUUCACAUUGGGAAUACAUAUACAAGCUGAAUCACUUGUACCAAUCAAGGAAGACCUAUGUAAAUCAGCGACAACCGAACCCACCCCCUCCAUUUCCCACAACCACCUGCCACAACUUACCACCCCUGACAGAAAGUACAAAUAUUUACUCCCCCCAAAAAUGUACAUCCAGCGAACAGCAAAUUUCUUUAACCGCUAUAACUUUUUCGGCUACACGUCUUUGUAAAAAGUCAAUCGUCUAACCAUU